CCUACGGGGUGCAGCAGUGAGGAAUAUUGGUCAAUGGUCGGGAGACUGAACCAGCCAAGCCGCGUGAGGGAUGAAGGUACAGAGUAUCGUACACCUCUUUUGUCAGGGAACAAAGGCGGGGACGUGUCCCCGGAUGAGUGUACCUGAAGAAAAAGCCUCGGCUAACUCCGUGUCAGCAGCCGCAGUAAUACGGAGGAAGCCAGCGUUAUCCGGCUUUAUUGGGUUUAAAGGGUGCGCAGGCGGUCUUUUAAGUCAGCGGUAAAAGCCCGGGGCGCAACCCCGGCCCGCCGUUGAAACUGGCAGUCUCGAGUUGGAGAGAAGUAUGCGGAAUGCGCGGUGUAGCGGUGAAAUGCAUAGAUAUCGCGCAGAACUCCGAUUGCGAAGGCAGCAUGCCGGCUCCACACUGACGCUGAGGCACGAAAGCGUGGGUAUCGAACAGGAUUAGAUACCCGUGUAGUC
Molecule: ribosomal RNA, 459 nt
Filed under: uncultured bacterium
Lineage: Bacteria
Description: partial 16S ribosomal RNA
Rfam family: Bacterial small subunit ribosomal RNA
Source: RNAcentral